AUGGGGUGCAGCAGGCGAGAAAACUUUGCAAUGUGCGAAAGCACGACAAGGUUAAUCCGAGUGAUUCCUGCUAAAGGAAUCUUUUGUUAGUCAUAAUACCACUAAUGAAUAAGGGGUGGGCAAGUUCUGGUGUCAGCCGCCGCGGUAAAACCAGCACCUCAAGUGGUCAGAAUGAUUAUUGGGCCUAAAGCAUCCGUAGCCGGCUCUGUUAGUUUUCGGUUAAAUCUAUAUGCUCAACAUAUAGGCCGCCGGGAAUACUACAAAGCUAGGGAGUGGGAGAGGUAGACGGUACUCCGUAGGAAGGGGUAAAAUCCUUUGAUCUAUGGAUGACCACCUGUGGCGAAGGCGGUCUACCAGAACACGUUCGACGGUGAGGGAUGAAAGCUGGGGGAGCAAACCGGAUUAGAUACCCGGGUAGUCCCAGCUGUAAACUAUGCAAACUCAGUGAUGCAUUGGCUUGUGGCCAGUGCAGUGCCGCAGAGAAGUCGUUAAGUUUGCCGCCUGGGAAGUACGUACGCAAGUAUGAAACUUAAAGGAAUUGGCGGGGGAGCAC
This 553-nucleotide ribosomal RNA is filed under the name uncultured crenarchaeote. RNAcentral describes it as "bacterial SSU rRNA". It matches the Rfam family "Archaeal small subunit ribosomal RNA", at positions 325 to 879 of the family's 1478-position model. The record is from RNAcentral. Lineage: Archaea; Thermoproteati; Thermoproteota.